GAUGAACGCUGGCGGCGUGCCUAAUACAUGCAAGUCGAGCGAACAGACGAGGAGCUUGCUCCUCUGACGUUAGCGGCGGACGGGUGAGUAACACGUGGAUAACCUACCUAUAAGACUGGGAUAACUUCGGGAAACCGGAGCUAAUACCGGAUAAUAUAUUGAACCGCAUGGUUCAAUAGUGAAAGACGGUUUUGCUGUCACUUAUAGAUGGAUCCGCGCCGCAUUAGCUAGUUGGUAAGGUAACGGCUUACCAAGGCAACGAUGCGUAGCCGAACUGAGAGGCUGAUCGGCCACCCUGGAACUGAGACACGGUCCAGACUCCUACGGGAGGCAGCAGUAGGGAAUCUUACGCAAUGGGCGAAAGCUUGACGGAGCAACGCCGCGUGAGUGAUGAAGGUCUUCGGAUCGUAAAACUCUGUUAUUAGGGAAGAACAAAUGUGUAAGUAACUAUGCACGUCUUGACGGUACCUAAUCAGAAAGCCACGGCUAACUACGUG
This 497-nucleotide ribosomal RNA is filed under the name uncultured bacterium. RNAcentral's name for it is "partial 16S ribosomal RNA". It matches the Rfam family "Bacterial small subunit ribosomal RNA", at positions 28 to 507 of the family's 1533-position model. The record is from RNAcentral.